CACAUGCAGUCGACGAGGAACGGCAUGAUAGCUUGUAUAAUUGUCAGCUAAGUGGCGCACGGGUGAGUAAUAUAUAGGUAACGUGCCCCAAAGAAGAGGAUAACAGAUGGAAACGCCUGCUAAGACUCUAUAUGCCUUUAUGACAAAAGUCAGCAAGGGAAAUAUUUAUAGCUUUGGGAUCGGCCUGUACAGUAUCAGUUAGUUGGUGAGGUAAUGGCUCACCAAGACAAUGACGCUUAACUGGUUUGAGAGGAUGAUCAGUCACACUGGAACUGAGACACGGUCCAGACUCCUACGGGAGGCAGCAGUGGGGAAUAUUGCACAAUGGACGAAAGUCUGAUGCAGCAACGCCGCGUGGAGGAUGACACAUUUCGGUGCGUAAACUCCUUUUAUAUGGGAAGAUAAUGACGGUACCAUAUGAAUAGCACCGGCUAACUCCGUGCCAGCAGCCGCGGUAAUACGGAGGGUGCAAGCGUUACUCGGAAUCACUGGGCGUAAAGAGCGUGUAGGCGGAUAGGUAAGUCAGAAGUGAAAUCCAAUAGCUCAACUAUUGAACUGC
This 559-nucleotide ribosomal RNA is filed under the name bacterium het-d-15. RNAcentral's name for it is "bacterial SSU rRNA". It matches the Rfam family "Bacterial small subunit ribosomal RNA", at positions 52 to 624 of the family's 1533-position model. The record is from RNAcentral.